This 253-nucleotide ribosomal RNA is filed under the name uncultured bacterium. RNAcentral describes it as "partial 16S ribosomal RNA". It matches the Rfam family "Bacterial small subunit ribosomal RNA", at positions 524 to 776 of the family's 1533-position model. The record is from RNAcentral.
UACGCAGGGUGCAGGCGUUAAUCGGAAUUAUUGGGCGUACAGGGCGCGUAGGCGGACAUGCAAGUCGGAUGUGAAAUCCCGGAGCUCAACUUCGGAACAGCAUCCGAAACUGCAUAUCUAGAGGAUAGGCGGAGGAAACGGAAUUCCACAAGUAGCGGUGAAAUGCGUAGAUAUGUGGAAGAACACCCGUGGCGAAGGCGGUUUCCUAGCUUAGACCUGACGCUGAGGCGCGAAAGCAAGGGGAUCAAACAGG